Molecule: microRNA precursor, 82 nt
Filed under: Notamacropus eugenii (tammar wallaby)
Lineage: Eukaryota; Metazoa; Chordata; Mammalia; Diprotodontia; Macropodidae
Description: miRNA (ENSMEUG00000017014.1)
Source: RNAcentral
AUUGUCUCUUUCAAAUAUAUGUGCGUGUGUGUGUGUAUAUAUGUAUAUAUAUAUACACACACACACACAUACACACACAUAU